Molecule: ribosomal RNA, 826 nt
Filed under: uncultured bacterium
Lineage: Bacteria
Description: bacterial SSU rRNA
Rfam family: Bacterial small subunit ribosomal RNA
Source: RNAcentral
UUNUGAACUGGGUAGCUAGAGUANGUCAGAGGGGGAUAGAAUUCCACGUGUAGCAGUGAAAUGCGUAGAGAUGUGGAGGAAUACCGAUGGCGAAGGCAGCCCCCUGGGAUAAUACUGACGUUCAUGCUCGAAAGCGUGGGUAGCAAACAGGAUUAGAUACCCUGGUAGUCCACGCCCUAAACGAUGUCGAUUAGCUGUUGGGCAGCUUGACUGCUUAGUAGCGUAGCUAACGCGUGAAAUCGACCGCCUGGGGAGUACGGUCGCAAGAUUAAAACUCAAAGGAAUUGACGGGGACCCGCACAAGCGGUGGAUGAUGUGGAUUAAUUCGAUGCAACGCGAAGAACCUUACCUGGUCUUGACAUGUACGGAACCUUCCAGAGACGGAAGGGUGCCUUCGGGAGCCGUAACACAGGUGCUGCAUGGCUGUCGUCAGCUCGUGUCGUGAGAUGUUGGGUUAAGUCCCGCAACGAGCGCAACCCUUGUCAUUAGUUGCCAUCAUUCAGUUGGGCACUCUAAUGAGACUGCCGGUGACAAACCGGAGGAAGGUGGGGAUGACGUCAAGUCCUCAUGGCCCUUAUGACCAGGGCUACACACGUCAUACAAUGGUCGGUACAAAGGGUAGCCAAGCCGCGAGGCGGAGCCAAUCUCAUAAAACCGAUCGUAGUCCGGAUUGCACUCUGCAACUCGAGUGCAUGAAGUCGGAAUCGCUAGUAAUCGCAGGUCAGCAUACUGCGGUGAAUACGUUCCCGGGUCUUGUACACACCGCCCGUCACACCAUGGGAGUGGGGGAUACCAGAAGUAGGUAGGGUAACCGCAAGGAGCCCGC